This 520-nucleotide ribosomal RNA is filed under the name uncultured Glomeromycotina. Its description in RNAcentral is "SSU rRNA". It matches the Rfam family "Eukaryotic small subunit ribosomal RNA", at positions 569 to 1088 of the family's 1831-position model. Lineage: Eukaryota; Fungi; Glomeromycota. The record is from RNAcentral.
AGCAGCCGCGGUAAUUCCAGCUCCAAUAGCGUAUAUUAAAGUUGUUGCAGUUAAAAAGCUCGUAGUUGAAUUUCGGGAUCAGUAGGUUGGUCAUGCCUUCGGUAUGUACUGGUCUCACUGAUUCCUCCCUCUUGAAGAACCGUAAUGUCAUUAAUUUGAUGUUGCGGGGAAACAGGACUGUUACUUUGAAAAAAUUAGAGUGUUUAAAGCAGGCUCACGCUUGAAUACAUUAGCAUGGAAUAAUGAAAUAGGACGUUCGAUCCUAUUUUGUUGGUUUCUAGGAUUGACGUAAUGAUUAAUAGGGAUAGUUGGGGGCAUUAGUAUUCAAUUGUCAGAGGUGAAAUUCUUGGAUUUAUUGAAGACUAACUACUGCGAAAGCAUUUGCCAAGGAUGUUUUCAUUAAUCAAGAACGAAAGUUAGGGGAUCGAAGACGAUCAGAUACCGUCGUAGUCUUAACCAUAAACUAUGCCGACUAGGGAUCGGAUGAUGUUAAUUUUUUAAUGUAACUCAUUCGGCGCCU